RNAcentral lists this ribosomal RNA (164 nucleotides) under uncultured bacterium. Its description in RNAcentral is "partial 16S rRNA". It matches the Rfam family "Bacterial small subunit ribosomal RNA", at positions 355 to 511 of the family's 1533-position model. The record is from RNAcentral.
UAGGGAAUCUUCCACAAUGGACGAAAGUCUGAUGGAGCAACGCCGCGUGAGUGAAGAAGGUUUUCGGAUCGUAAAGCUCUGUUGUUGGUGAAGAAGGAUAGAGGCAGUAACCGGUCUUUAUUUGACGGUAAUCAACCAGAAAGUCACGGCUAACUACGUGCUAG